GACGAAGCGAAGAAGAAACUGCCUGCAGUUCAGUGAACUACAAUGUAAACAGUUAUAAUUUAAUAAGGAAUUUAUCGCUAUUUGAGGAAAGAUACAGUUGUAAAACGCUUGCUAAACAUCAUUGGCAAGAUGACCUUCCCGCUAUUGAUUCAGACAGUGAGAUAGAGGAAGAGAAUUCAGCUUCAAAAGAACUCACCGACUUUCUAAAUCCUGUUGCUUCACCAACCAAGAUUUCAGUCUACUCCUCUUAUGAUGAUAAAAAAAAAAAAAAAUUGAUAAUGAUGACGAUUCAGAAGAAAGCUGCGCAGACUCUUCGUUUCUGGACGCAGCUGAGACCCGCAGGCAGUCGGUCAGUGAGUGGGUGCGAUCUGCUCAGGCGAUUCUUCAGACACCUCAGAUAAGACCCCAGAGGACUCGAGUAAAAAGAGGAGGAGGUUUGAAAGUAUGAUGCAUGGGGACAUCUUGCUUGAAAAGGCUGAACCGACUCUACAGCAGUCAAAGAUCAGCCAUCAGCUUCUGGAGACAUCCGUGCAACUCAACCACAUCAGCUGGUCAGUGAGUUGAACAGAUGAGGAGUACCUAAGUCUCUGCUGGACGCAGUGGAGGAUUGUGGGUCGUCGGGGCCUCCAUCAGAAGAAUCAGCACCACCGCAAAUCAUCGGCAAGUACUGGACCUCUGUUUCAUUUCUCUGGUUUCAAUAACUUUGUUACUUUGGAGGAAGAAAACCCCGGAAAAGUCCUGUAUAGUGUCGCAGCUUGCAAAUCUUUUUUAAACAAACACACACACACAUAAAAAACACUGUUUUAGUCAAAGAUCAUCUAAAGUUCUUGAAGAAAUGUGCUGUUUAAUAAAUGUGUUUAAAUUAAUAUAUACAUUACCGUUUAAAAGUUUGGGGUUGGUAGGUCUCUUCUGCUCAUAAUUGCUACAUUUAUUUCAAUGCAUUUGUAAAAACAGUAAUAUUGCAAAAUAUUAUUGCAAUUUAUUAUUUUAAUUUUUCGUUUUUACUUUUAAGUGUUAUUCAUUCCUACAGCAUUUAUUUGAAAUAGAGAUAUUUCUCUUUACUCUCACUUCUGAUCAAUUUAAUUUCUUUAAUAAAUACCUUUUUGACCCAAAACAGUAGUGAGUACAUGCACACACUAUAUAUAUACGGUAUAUAUUAUAUUUUUGGGUGUAUUGUUCUUGUAAGCCUAUAGCGCUUUUAUUACCUCCACAAUAUAUAUCAAUGCAUUUCAAAGCAGCUUUUCGUAGUUUAAUUUUAAUUCUUAAAAACUUGCAUGUUUUCCCUCACAUUUCCACUUUGUAACUGUUACCAGCACAGACACUUGAGCUCUCUGUAAAUAAACACAAUGUGCAGUUUAUCAGCAGCUCUUCUUAUCCAGUAACCAGACAAACUAGUUUGACAAACCAGAUACCAGUUAGAUCUCAGCUUUUACUCUAAUUUGCUUCUAAUAAAACCUAUGUGAAUUGAUUGGGAAUGUGCUUGAGGUCAUAAUAAAAUACAAUAACAUGCAUGACAGGUUCAAAUCACACAGAAUGAGCGUCAGAAUGAUCUAGAAUGUGCUUCGUCGAUCUGAGACGGUGCAUCUUUGUACGUGUUUUACGAGAUGUGUUGUGUGUUUGCUCUGUGUUCCAGCGCGGUGUAAUUAGGCCAUUGUCUGUUCUGAACUCCACUGUUAAAGCUCCAAGAGGUCAGCCUCCUCACGGAGUAAUAAAUGAGCUCAAAUGCAGGCAAGAGGCAGAUGCUGCUGUUUGUGACUGAAGGGGAACAGGAGAACUGUAACACACACACAACCCCUUCUGAUGAUCAGAGACGCUGUGAAGGAGAAUGAGCCUUGACUGUAGAACGUUCCCUGACAUUAAGCUACUGCUCCUUCUUGUAAACCAGCUCAGAUAUUCUGCUGGGAACAGACAGUGAUCCAACUGGAACCAGAAAACUCGUAAUUCUCCAUUCUGCAACUCCAUAAUACUGGAGCACCUGGAUCCAGAAACCCUCCCUCUCUGCGCUGUCACAGGUUGGUACGUUCCCCCCAGAACCCUCCUUGUUUUGAGGAGUUGGUAUGAUCCAGCCUGACAGAACCAGAUCUCGAGGGGGGUACAGCAUGUUUGGACAUUUAAACGAAACCAGUUGCUUUGUUAGGGACCUUCUUGUGGUUUGUUAUUUACUCCUUCCUCCUUCAAGAUCUUUCUCCCACAUGUUGAAGUUGUCUUUUCGCCUGGUGUUGAGAUAUAAAACUCACAUUUUGUUACAAAGUGUUCUGUUCUUCUCCUUAUUAUAUUAUUUUAACUCAUGCAAAGUGAAGCCAUCUGUCUGAAGCGUUUCAUUCUUUAAAUGAUCCACAAAUAUCGACCAUCUUCUUAACAUUAAUAGUUUUUGAGAGUUAUUUCAUUGCUUUUACAAAAAGUAAGGUUUAUCUGCAGUAAUAUUAAUAGAAUGGAUUUACAGUGGCGGUUUGUAGAAAACAGGCUAAAACAACGGCUAUACAGAAAACUGAGUUAGUGGUCAAAAUUU
Carassius auratus (goldfish) is the source of this 2509-nucleotide long non-coding RNA. RefSeq lists it as uncharacterized. Lineage: Eukaryota; Metazoa; Chordata; Actinopteri; Cypriniformes; Cyprinidae. The transcript is spliced from 7 exons. The record is from RefSeq and is a predicted model, not a curated record.